GGCUUAGAGUUUGAUCAUGGCUCAGGAUGAACGCUGGCGGCGUGCCUAACACAUGCAAGUCGAACGAAGCACUUUAUUACGAUUUCUUCGGAAUGACGAUUUGGUGACUGAGUGGCGGACGGGUGAGUAACGCGUGGAUAACCUGCCCCAUACAGGGGGAUAACAGUUAGAAAUGACUGCUAAUACCGCAUAAGCGCACAGUAUCGCAUGAUACGGUGUGAAAAACUCCGGUGGUAUGGGAUGGAUCCGCGUCUGAUUAGCCAGUUGGCGGGGUAGAGGCCCACCAAAGCGACGAUCAGUAGCCGACCUGAGAGGGUGACCGGCCACAUUGGGACUGAGACACGGCCCAAACUCCUACGGGAGGCAGCAGUGGGGAAUAUUGCACAAUGGGGGAAACCCUGAUGCAGCGACGCCGCGUGAGCGAAGAAGUAUUUCGGUAUGUAAAGCUCUAUCAGCAGGGAAGAAGAAAGUGACGGUACCUGACUAAGAAGCUCCGGCUAAAUACGUGCCAGCAGCCGCGGUAAUACGUAUGGAGCAAGCGUUAUCCGGAUUUACUGGGUGUAAAGGGAGCGUAGGCGGUGCUAUAAGUCUGAUGUGAAAGCCCGGGGCUCAACCGCGGGACUGCAUUGGAAACUGUAGGACUGGAGUGUCGGAGGGGUAAGUG
This 664-nucleotide ribosomal RNA is filed under the name uncultured bacterium. Its description in RNAcentral is "bacterial SSU rRNA". It matches the Rfam family "Bacterial small subunit ribosomal RNA", at positions 1 to 663 of the family's 1533-position model. The record is from RNAcentral.